Long non-coding RNA from Phyllopteryx taeniolatus (common seadragon), 1772 nucleotides. RefSeq lists it as uncharacterized. Lineage: Eukaryota; Metazoa; Chordata; Actinopteri; Syngnathiformes; Syngnathidae. The transcript is spliced from 4 exons. The record is from RefSeq and is a predicted model, not a curated record.
CGAGACACCACAGUGUGUGUGUGUUGUUGUUUUUAAGCUAGCCGCUAACAAUGAUAGCAGAGUAACCUCGAGGCGAAACUCGGCGAACAAGAGGAGAAACAGUUACAAUGCCAACUACUGGACUGUUUCUGGCUCACGUUUGUACUACAUAGAGCAGUACUUCGAACUGAGAGUGCAAGAAUAACCUUUUUACCAGAGCCGGCGGCCACAUAUGAUCAGAUCAAGUCUUUGUCACAAGAUUUGGUGAAGCAGCAUGUGGCCCAUUUACCAAGGUUUCAGAAGCCUGAAGGUUUCAUGCUAACUGAUCACUGGUGUUUGGAAUGGUUCAUAAUUCCAUCCAUCUUGACUAAGGCCCCAGUUCCAGCAGAAGAAAAAACACCCCAAAGCAUGAUGCUGCCCCCACCAUGUUUCACUGGAGCCCAGACAUAUGAAGAAGACGGGAGAUUGUUGUCACAGGUACCAAACAACCACUAAUUGCCCAAAAUUUCUGCGGGUCCUCCCAUGUUGCCCUCACCUUGGCAGCCUCUCUGACCAGUUUUCUUUUCAUCUUCUCAUCAAUUUCGGAUGGACAUCCAAUUCUUGGUGAUGUGACAAUAUAUUUUCCCCACUUGAUGAUGGCUGUCUGCACUGUGUUCAAUGGUUUAUUUAAUGCCUUGGAAAAUCUUUGUUCUGUUCUCUUGACUGAUACUUUUAUCAUUCUGACGCUAUGGAAGCUCACUACAGACCGUGGGUUGUGCUGUAAAAUGUGAUGACAAGUGUCAGGAAAAGCCAACUCGAACAUCAGUACUUUAUUUUGGGGUUAAUCAGAGGCAUUUUAAAAGGUGGCAGGUGUGAGCUGACUGCCAUUUAACAUGAGUUUGAUACGAUUGGUUGAUUCUGAACACAGCCACAUCCCCAGUUACUAGAGGGUGUGCAUACGUGUGCAACCACAUUAUCUCAGUUAUAUAUUUUUACAGUAAUGGUGGAAUUUUAGAUAUAUAUUUUUUAAAUGAUUUAUCUUGGUCCUGUUUCGGUGUGUACAUUGUAUAUCUACUUUACAUCCACUGUGGUACACACACUUUUGAUUCAUCAUGGAGAUCUCAUCAAAAAAGAGUAUUAAAUAUCUGAAAGUGUAGAUUAUUUUGACUGAAACGAUUUUCCUUUAAUUCAGGGGUCACCAACAUGGUGCCCGAGGGUCUGCUCGACAACUAGCAGUGAUAGGACAUUGUGCUUUCCUUGAAAUGUUGUAAAAGUGAUCUUUUGAAAAUGUUAACACUUGCAGAAAUUUACAGAAAUAAAGUGUUGCAUAUUGAUAUUUAUCGGUUUCCUAUCCGUUGCUUUGUUUUACUUUGCUGUCUGCUGCCAGUUCGGCAUUGCAAAUGAGAAUCUGUUCUUAAUUGCCCUGGACAAAUAAACGUUAAAUUAUUAAAUAAAGGAAUUACCCAAGAGGGCGCUUUCAGUUUCAAGGGGAUGGUGACCCCUGCUUUAAAGUACUGUAUCUACCUUUAAUGGGCACUCAUUAAUUACAUCGAUAUUAUUUUAUAAUUGUAUUCAAUGUUUCCUCAUUUCCAUCCAUUUUCUAUACUGCUAAUUAUAUUUUCUUACAUUUAUAUAUCAAUUUAUAUUCUUCCACGCGGUCAAUAAAGUAUUUACUACCUACCUACCUACCUACCUACCUACAUUAUAUUUCCAGUAAGACUUUUGUGUUUAAAAAUGUUUUUCUUCUAUUUUCUUUUAUUUCAUUUUUAUUUUUUUUUUAUUCUUGUUAACUAUUUGUGAUUGUCCUCCCUGUG